GAUGAACGCUGGCGGCGUGCCUAAUACAUGCAAGUCGAGCGAACGGACGAGAAGCUUGCUUUUCUGAUGUUAGCGGCGGACGGGUGAGUAACACGUGGAUAACCUACCUAUAAGACUGGGAUAACUUCGGGAAACCGGAGCUAAUACCGGAUAAUAUUUUGAACCGCAUGGUUCAAAAGUGAAAGACGGUCUUGCUGUCACUUAUAGAUGGAUCCGCGCUGCAUUAGCUAGUUGGCAAGGUAACGGCUUACCAAGGCAACGAUGCAUAGCCGACCUGAGAGGGUGAUCGGCCACACUGGAACUGAGACACGGUCCAGACUCCUACGGGAGGCAGCAGUAGGGACUCUUCCGCAAUGGGCGAAAGCCUGACGGAGCAACGCCGCGUGAGUGAUGAAGGUCUUCGGAUCGUAAAACUCUGUUAUUAGUGAAGAACAUAUGUGUAAGUAACUGUGCACAUCUUGACGGUACCUAAUCAGAAAGCCACGGCUAACUACGUG
RNAcentral lists this ribosomal RNA (497 nucleotides) under uncultured bacterium. RNAcentral describes it as "partial 16S ribosomal RNA". It matches the Rfam family "Bacterial small subunit ribosomal RNA", at positions 28 to 507 of the family's 1533-position model. The record is from RNAcentral.